UGUGUAGGCGGUGUUCUAAGUUUGUCGUGAAAUCUCCCGGCUUAACUGGGAGGGUGCGGCGAAAACUGGAAUGCUAGAGGAUGGGAGAGGUAAGCGGAAUUCCUGGUGUAGCGGUGAAAUGCGUAGAUAUCAGGAGGAACACCUGUGGUGUAGACAGCUUACUGGACCAUUUCUGACGUUGAGACACGAAAGCGUGGGUAGCAAACA
Molecule: ribosomal RNA, 207 nt
Filed under: uncultured bacterium
Lineage: Bacteria
Description: partial 16S ribosomal RNA
Rfam family: Bacterial small subunit ribosomal RNA
Source: RNAcentral